RNAcentral lists this long non-coding RNA (290 nucleotides) under Brassica napus (rape). RNAcentral's name for it is "long non-coding RNA (BNAP_LNC010049)". The record is from RNAcentral. Lineage: Eukaryota; Viridiplantae; Streptophyta; Magnoliopsida; Brassicales; Brassicaceae.
UGCAUAUUGACAGAAAGAGAAGAAGGACAAUUAAUUGAAAUAAGAACAGAGGAGGGCGGAUGUACCCCUAACCGAUCAGACCGCGGACCCGACCAAACAGGCCGAUUUUCUAGUCCGAUGGAUCGCCGGUCACAUCCUGUACCUUGGAACCACGAUCAGGCGUCCCCACUUGUUUCUCCUUGCUUGUGCCUUUCAUUCUUAACCUGUUUCUCUCUCCCACAUGAUCACCCUCGCCAGAGAAGUAAAUACCACCACAAUCGGCCUCUCUUUGGCCGAUCUCUCUCUCUCUC